Molecule: transfer RNA, 74 nt
Filed under: bacterium
Lineage: Bacteria
Description: tRNA-Gln
Rfam family: tRNA
About the family: Transfer RNA (tRNA) molecules are approximately 80 nucleotides in length. Their secondary structure includes four short double-helical elements and three loops (D, anti-codon, and T loops).
Source: RNAcentral
UGGGGGAUCGUCUAACGGUAGGACCCGAGAUUCUGGCUCUCGUUGUGGGGGUUCGAAUCCUCCUCCCCCAGCCA